RNAcentral lists this unclassified non-coding RNA (385 nucleotides) under uncultured Thermotogae bacterium. Its description in RNAcentral is "contains 16S-23S intergenic spacer region". The record is from RNAcentral. Lineage: Bacteria; Thermotogati; Thermotogota; Thermotogae.
UCCGCCUCGUCGGCGGCAGUCUGGCUAGAGUGCCCACCUUCGUGUUGGCAACUAACCACAGGGGUUGCGCUCGUUGCGGGACUUAACCCAACACCUCACGGCACGAGCUGACGACGACCAUGCACCACCUGUAUCCGCUCAAGAGCAUUCGCCCUCGUCGUUCCCCUUUCAGUUCACUACCACGGAUAUGUCAAGACCUGGUAAGGUUCUUCGCUUAACGUCGAAUUAAACCACACGCUCCACCGCUUGUGCGGGCCCCCGUCAAUUCCUUUGAGUUUCAUCCUUGCGGACGUACUCCCCAGGCGGCUCACUUAUUGCGUUUGCUUCAGCGCAGAGCACGCUAUGCGCCCCACACCUAGUGAGCAUCGUUUACGGCCAGGACUAC